Molecule: ribosomal RNA, 558 nt
Filed under: Caystrus sp. MRCPEN337
Lineage: Eukaryota; Metazoa; Arthropoda; Insecta; Hemiptera; Pentatomidae
Description: partial large subunit ribosomal RNA
Rfam family: Bacterial large subunit ribosomal RNA
Source: RNAcentral
CCCGGUUUUUUAACAAAACAUGUCUUAAUGUUAAUAUUUAUUAAGUCUUGCCUGCUCAAUGAUUAUAAAUUAAAUAGCCGCAGUAUUUUGACUGUGCGAAGGUAGCAUAAUCAUUUGUCUUUUAAUUGAAGGCUUGUAUGAAUGGUUUGAUGAAAAAUUAACUUUCUUUAUAUUAAAUUAUUGAAAUUAAUAUUUUAGUUAAAAAGCUAAAAUUUUUAAAUGGGACGAGAAGACCCUAUAGAAUUUUAUUUCUUUGGAUUUUUAAAUUUUUAGGUAUUUUUUUUAUUUAAAAUUUUAUAGAAAUUUUGUUGGGGUGAUGCUGGGAAUUAAUUAACUCCCAUAAUUAUUAAAAUUAUUAAUUAGUAUAUUUAAGAUCCUAUUUUAUGGAUAAGUAGAUUAAAUUACCUUAGGGAUAACAGCGUAAUUCUUCUGGAUAGUUCUUAUUGAUAGUGGAGUUUGCGACCUCGAUGUUGGAUUAAAAUUAGAUUUAAGUGCAGAAGCUUAAUUUCUGGGUCUGUUCGACCUUUAAAAUUUUACAUGAUCUAAUUUUCAACCCGG